AACGGCCGUACCAUGCUGAAUAUACCGCUUCUCAUUAGAUCACCGAAGUCAAGCAUCAUUGGGCGCGGUCAGUACUUGGGUGGGUGACCACCUGGGAACACCGCGUGCCGUU
Molecule: non-coding RNA, 112 nt
Organism: Caerostris darwini
Lineage: Eukaryota; Metazoa; Arthropoda; Arachnida; Araneae; Araneidae
Source: the annotation of a GenBank genome assembly